Molecule: unclassified non-coding RNA, 219 nt
Filed under: uncultured Actinomycetes bacterium
Lineage: Bacteria; Bacillati; Actinomycetota; Actinomycetes
Description: uncultured actinobacterium contains 16S-23S intergenic spacer region
Source: RNAcentral
UCCGGUUUGGCACCGGCAGUCUCCCUAGAGUUCCCGGCAUCACCCGCUGGCAACUAAGGACAGGGGUUGCGCUCGUUGCGCCACUUAAGGCAACACCUCACGGCACGAGCUGACGACAGCCAUGCACCACCUGUGCAGGCUCCGAAGAGCACCCGCUUUCACGGGUUUCACCCUGCAUGUCAAGCCCAGGUAAGGUGGGGAUGACGUGUCCUUGAUAGG